Molecule: ribosomal RNA, 515 nt
Filed under: Aphroteniella sp. 2 SRM-2010
Lineage: Eukaryota; Metazoa; Arthropoda; Insecta; Diptera; Chironomidae
Description: bacterial SSU rRNA
Rfam family: Eukaryotic small subunit ribosomal RNA
Source: RNAcentral
GGAGGUAGUGACGAAAAAUAACAAUAUAGAACUAGUUAACUAUGUUCUGUAAUUGGAAUGAGUUAAUUAUAAAUCCUUUAAUAAGGAUCUAGUGGAGGGCAAGUCUGGUGCCAGCAGCCGCGGUAAUUCCAGCUCCACUAGCGUAUAUUAAAAUUGUUGCGGUUAAAACGUUCGAAGUUGAUUAUUGUCCGGUACGGGUGUUGCACCAUCAAGUAAAUGGUUGCAUUACAUUUCCGAUUACUUGGACUUGAUUUUGAGACUGAACACUUAAUGAAUAGCAUUCGUUGGCCUUUCACUAGGUCUGAAUGUCCUAUUUAGUUCAGCUUAAUAUUACCUUGAACAAAUUAAGGUGCUCAAAGCAGGCUCUAUAUGCCUUGAAUAUUUUUGCAUGGAAUAAUGGAAAAAGACCUCGGUCUAAGUCUUUUGCGUGUUGCUCGUUUGCGCGGGUUGCAUGCGUAUUUAAAGAGUUUCUAUUGGUUUGAUAUAGAUCAAGAGGUAAUGAUUAAUAGAAGCAG